UACGGGGGGGGUAAGCGUUGUUCGGAAUUACUGGGCGUAAAGGGCUCGUAGGCGGCCAACUAAGUCAUACGUGAAAUCCCUCAGCUUAACUGGGGAACUGCGUGUGAUACUGGAUGGCUUGGAUUUGGGAGAGGGAUGCGGAAUUCCAGGUGUAGCGGUGAAAUGCGUAGAUAUCUGGAGGAACACCGGUGGCGAAGGCGGCAUCCUGGACCAAUAUUGACGCUGAGGAGCGCAAGCCAGGGGAGCAAACGGG
This 253-nucleotide ribosomal RNA is filed under the name uncultured bacterium. RNAcentral describes it as "partial 16S ribosomal RNA". It matches the Rfam family "Bacterial small subunit ribosomal RNA", at positions 524 to 776 of the family's 1533-position model. The record is from RNAcentral.